This 65-nucleotide transfer RNA is filed under the name bovine gut metagenome. It matches the Rfam family "tRNA". From Rfam's summary of the family: Transfer RNA (tRNA) molecules are approximately 80 nucleotides in length. Their secondary structure includes four short double-helical elements and three loops (D, anti-codon, and T loops). The record is from RNAcentral.
GGCGUAGUUCAACGGUAGAACGGUGGUCUCCAAAACCAUUAAUGCGGGUUCGAUUCCUGCCGCCC